This 23-nucleotide non-coding RNA is filed under the name Rattus norvegicus (Norway rat). The record is from RNAcentral. Lineage: Eukaryota; Metazoa; Chordata; Mammalia; Rodentia; Muridae.
UGGUUCGUGGUUGACAUCCUUGC